GAAAAAGUCAUAGGGUUUAUGGGAUUGGCUUGAAACCAAUUUUUGGGGGUUCAAAUCCUUCCUUUUUCG
RNAcentral lists this transfer RNA (69 nucleotides) under Callimico goeldii (Goeldi's marmoset). RNAcentral describes it as "tRNA-Ser". It matches the Rfam family "tRNA". From Rfam's summary of the family: Transfer RNA (tRNA) molecules are approximately 80 nucleotides in length. Their secondary structure includes four short double-helical elements and three loops (D, anti-codon, and T loops). Lineage: Eukaryota; Metazoa; Chordata; Mammalia; Primates; Cebidae. The record is from RNAcentral.